GUAUUUGUUAUAUAGUAAUUAGUUUCAGUCCAUGUGCUUACUAUGAGACGCGUUGAGACAAAUAUAAUUGGCAGGUUGAGGAGAUAGCAAUUGCUCCCUCACUUGCAAUCCUGCCAAUAGACAUUUCAUUAGUUCACACAAGGUGGAUAUGGAUAAAUUAUCCAUGAAAAGGACAAUUUGUUAAUGAUCCUUCCGCAGGUUCACCUACGGAAA
Molecule: unclassified non-coding RNA, 213 nt
Filed under: uncultured fungus
Lineage: Eukaryota; Fungi
Description: sequence contains ITS1
Source: RNAcentral